GACGAACGCUGGCGGCGUGCCUAAUACAUGCAAGUAGAACGCUGAAGGAGGAGCUUGCUCUUCUGGAUGAGUUGCGAACGGGUGAGUAACGCGUAGGUAACCUGCCUGGUAGCGGGGGAUAACUAUUGGAAACGAUAGCUAAUACCGCAUAACAUUGACUAUUGCAUGAUAGUCAAUUAAAAGGUGCAAAUGCACCACUACCAGAUGGACCUGCGUUGUAUUAGCUAGUUGGUGGGGUAACGGCUCACCAAGGCGACGAUACAUAGCCGAGCUGAGAGGGUGGACGGGCACCCUGGGACUGGAGCACGGCCCAAGACUCUUCGGGAGGGAGCCAUAGGGGAUCUUUGGAAAUGGAGGGAAGUCUGACCGAGCAACGGCGGGGUAGUGAAGAAGGGUCUCGGGUCGGAAAGCUCGGUUGUAAGAGAAGAACGGGUGUGAGGGUGGAACGUUCACACUGUGACGGUAUCUUACGAGAAAGCGCCGGCUAACUACGUG
RNAcentral lists this ribosomal RNA (495 nucleotides) under uncultured bacterium. RNAcentral's name for it is "partial 16S ribosomal RNA". It matches the Rfam family "Bacterial small subunit ribosomal RNA", at positions 28 to 507 of the family's 1533-position model. The record is from RNAcentral.